AAAGUUUAAACUUCAAAGCUCAUGCAUGCAUGCACAUCCAGUGCUCAGUGUCUAAUUGUGUGUUUGUGUUUUUACCUUUUUGCAGUAGCGUAGUGAAACAUUUGGGCGGUGGAUAAAUAAUGGAAAAUAAAAUUCAGACUACAGACGGCUUCAGGUUUCCAUACAUCGGAAACAGCUGCUGCAUCUGUAAUUCUGUCCAUCCUGAGGAGAGUCCACACUCUACAUCAGAUCCUUGGCUCACCUAUAAUGACGCACAGGUGCUGCACACAACUGGAUCUGCAGCUUACACCCUUCAGUUUCAUCAUGUCAUCCCUAACAAUAGCUGUAGAGUUGGAUGGAGGAUGAAGACAGCAGAGAGCAAAAGAAACAGUUGAACUUUUGCAAAGCUGAGGAGAUUUUGGCUGCGAUCACAUCAAGUCCAAAGAUGUUUAAACUUCUUUUUCACAGAAAGAAAUCACACAAACAAAACGUGGCAGAGAAGGAAAUUCCUUCUACGUCUCAUCAGAGGUAAAGAAAUGCGCCCUCUUUA
Molecule: long non-coding RNA, 529 nt
Organism: Haplochromis burtoni (Burton's mouthbrooder)
Lineage: Eukaryota; Metazoa; Chordata; Actinopteri; Cichliformes; Cichlidae
Exons: 5
Source: RefSeq, a predicted model, not a curated record